This is a long non-coding RNA of Mastomys coucha (southern multimammate mouse), 510 nucleotides long. RefSeq lists it as uncharacterized. The transcript has 2 exons. The record is from RefSeq and is a predicted model, not a curated record. NCBI's taxonomy places the organism in Eukaryota, Metazoa, Chordata, Mammalia, Rodentia, Muridae.
GGAGUCUGUAAUGUUGGUCCCUGUGCACCCUGAGCAGCGCUCCGUCCAGCCGGGCAGAAACAGGAGUCUCAACACAGAGUUCCGACCUGUGCGCUGAGCCCUGGGUAAGGCGCGGCCACAAGAAGUCCUUCCAGGAUUUGGUCUGACACCUCAAGCAUCGAAAGGUGAAUGAUUCUCCAGGACCCCAGCUUUCAUGGAGCUUGUCCUGGACUAAGAAGAGUUGGAUGGAAUGGGGCUGGUUACUGGGAAGGGCCUGCAUGGUCUCCACACGAGGCAUUAGUCGCAGGCUCACCUUUGUCUUUCCCCGUCAUUUAAAUUCUCAGGUCAUCUGAGGUCCAGGGAUCUGAGGGCUCUGUAGAUGUGUCAGUCUGAUAACCUGAUUCACACUCUGGAACCUACAGAGUGAAAGGAGAGAACCAAUUCCCAUGAGUUUUCCCUAUCCUCUGUAUGUUAUGGUCUGCAUGUUCAUACAGUCACAAAUACACAAAAUAAAUAAUAAAAAGAAUGGUA